This 253-nucleotide ribosomal RNA is filed under the name uncultured bacterium. RNAcentral describes it as "partial 16S ribosomal RNA". It matches the Rfam family "Bacterial small subunit ribosomal RNA", at positions 524 to 776 of the family's 1533-position model. The record is from RNAcentral.
UACAGAGGUGGCAAGCGUUAUCCGGAAUCACUGGGUUUAAAGGGUGCGUAGGCGGCUGUAUAAGUCAGAGGUGAAAGCCCGGAGCUUAACUUCGGAACUGCCUUUGAUACUGUAUAGCUUGAAAUAGGUUGAGGUCAGCGGAAUGUGGCAUGUAGCGGUGAAAUGCAUAGAUAUGCCAUAGAACACCAAUUGCGAAGGCAGCUGGCUGGACCUUAUUUGACGCUGAGGCACGAAAGCGUGGGGAGCGAACAGG